RNAcentral lists this ribosomal RNA (120 nucleotides) under uncultured bacterium. RNAcentral's name for it is "partial 16S ribosomal RNA". It matches the Rfam family "Bacterial small subunit ribosomal RNA", at positions 215 to 334 of the family's 1533-position model. The record is from RNAcentral.
GCGCUUCGGGAUGGGCUCGCGGCCUAUCAGCUUGUUGGUGGGGUAACGGCCCACCAAGGCUUCGACGGGUAGCUGGUCUGAGAGGACGAUCAGCCACACUGGGACUGAGACACGGCCCAG